RNAcentral lists this small RNA (603 nucleotides) under Drosophila mojavensis. RNAcentral describes it as "GI25619". The record is from RNAcentral. Lineage: Eukaryota; Metazoa; Arthropoda; Insecta; Diptera; Drosophilidae.
UGUCUAAUUAAAUGUAUUUUCUUUUUACAGAUUGACGAUAUUACCAUUGAAUCUUCUUCAAGUUUGGAAAUUUUAAGAAGAGUUGCAGCGUUGGAGGCUGAAAAUAAGGAAAUUCGAAAUAUUGUUUCAAAUUUUGCUCAACUGUAUAAUGAUAUGCUGAAACGUAUUUCAAUUAUCGAAAAUAACAGAAUUUUAAAUUAAAAUAUAUUAGUGGCUUGAUACGAAUAAUCAUGAAAAAAUUGACGAUAUUACCAUUGAAUCUUCUUCAAGUUUGGAAAUUUUAAGAAGAGUUGCAGCGUUGGAGGCUGAAAAUAAGGAAAUUCGAAAUAUUGUUUCAAAUUUUGCUCAACUGUAUAAUGAUAUGCUGAAACGUAUUUCAAUUAUCGAAAAUAACAGAAUUUUAAAUUAAAAUAUAUUAGUGGCUUGAUACGAAUAAUCAUGAAAAAGUAAUAAUAAGCGAAAACCAAAUAUUUACAAAAUUGUAUGAAUUAUUGUCAACUCCAUUAUAUACUUGAUUUGUAUUUAUGAGACAAGAGCAAGAAUAUGACGCUAAUAACUGAUAUGUAUAACCUGAUGAGAUAAUAAAAAAAAAAGUAUUUGGAA